AGCCUAAAGCCUCCGAGGCCUGUAUUAAAAAGAAUAUCGAGAAAGAACUCGAGGAAUCGAGUCAAGGCCAAGGGCGACUCGCUUGAGAUUUAGGGACUGGAGGAGCAGCAUACUGAGCUACUGAGGAUUGAGGAUCUAUCAGCUUGAAGUUAUCGGGUAUAAUUUAUACCCUGACUGUAAAUAUUUAUUUUGAUGUAUGUAAUGCACAGAAAUAUAUGGACAUGUGAAGAUAGGUUUUGAGCAGCUUGUACAAAAUCUGUAUAAAAUUUGUAAUAAACUUUAGUUUGGAUUUUCUUAAUGUAAAUUUUUGUAUGACAUAUACAUAAAUUGUUUAUCUUUGAAGAAAUAUGAAUGUAUGAAAUUGAUUGACUGUACCUUGGGG
This 382-nucleotide unclassified non-coding RNA is filed under the name Hevea brasiliensis (rubber tree). The record is from RNAcentral. Lineage: Eukaryota; Viridiplantae; Streptophyta; Magnoliopsida; Malpighiales; Euphorbiaceae.